Molecule: long non-coding RNA, 449 nt
Filed under: Salmo salar (Atlantic salmon)
Lineage: Eukaryota; Metazoa; Chordata; Actinopteri; Salmoniformes; Salmonidae
Description: lncRNA (ENSSSAG00000103166.1)
Source: RNAcentral
CAGAGAGAGAGAGUAGAGUGAUAGAGUCAGAGAGAGAGAGAGAUGGCAGAAUAAGAGAGAGGGAUAAGGCAGAGGGAAUGACAUAUUCAUCCCUCCCUGACACAGGAGAGAGAGAGAGAGAGAGAGAGAGAGAGAGGGAGAUUAUUUUGUUCCGAUUCUUUAAUAGAACCUCUUUAUCUCUGUUGCAUCUGUGCUGUUAGUGAUCUCUGACAUGGUUUCCCUCCACUGGACCCUGUGUUUCCUUCUAGCAUCGGCCAUUCUGUAUUAAUAAUAGCUUCUGUUGUUGUGAAGUCGUGUGGAACGAUGGUUUGGGUACAGAAGCUGCAUUGAAGACUUCAGUAUGAGGCAAACUCAAUCUCGGCUAGCGCCUCACCACUGCUCCAUCCACUCACCAAGUCUAUUUAUCUGUCUGUUUCAUUUUGCUGGCCUCUUGUGACACGGGAGGAGCA